CCUACGGGGAGCAGCAGUGAGGAAUAUUGGUCAAUGGACGUAAGACUGAACCAGCCAAGUAGCGUGCAGGAUGACUGCCCUAUGGGUUGUAAACUGCUUUUAUAAAGGAAUAAAACGAGGCACGUGUGCCUUUUUGCAUGUACUUUAUGAAUAAGGAUCGGCUAACUCCGUGCCAGCAGCCGCGGUAAUACGGAGGGUCCGCGCGUUAUCCGGAUUUAUUGGGUUUAAAGGGAGCGUAGACGGGUUGUUAAGUUAGUUGUGAAAGUCUGUGGCUCAACCGUAGAAUUGCGAUGGAUACUGGCAGGCUUGAGUACACGGGAGGUAAGCGGAAUUCGUGGUGUAGCGGUGAAAUGCUUAGAUAUCACGAAGAACCCCGAUUGCGAAGGCAGCAUACUAAAGUGUGACUGACGUUGAAGCUCGAAGGUGUGGGUAUCAAACAGGAUUAGAUACCCGUGUAGUC
RNAcentral lists this ribosomal RNA (460 nucleotides) under uncultured bacterium. RNAcentral's name for it is "partial 16S ribosomal RNA". It matches the Rfam family "Bacterial small subunit ribosomal RNA", at positions 338 to 795 of the family's 1533-position model. The record is from RNAcentral.